AGGGAGAAAAGAAAGGAAUAGAACUUGCAACUGAAAAGAUUAGGAGAGAACGAUAGGUUAACAGUAGGUGACAUUUUUGCAGCUUUCCAGAAUGCUUGAAAUUAUCUCCAUCUUCAAGGUACACACACACACAGAAGAGGAAGAUUCUAGUCAGGCCAUGAAUGGAGAGGAAACAGAGUUAAGGUAGACAAGUAGGGAAGAAAGCAUUUCGGAUGUGGGGAUUGACUGAACAAACUACUGAGGUCAGAAUGAGUUUGACUUGCAUGGAGAUUGCCCAGUACAAGUCUGAUGGAACAGCUUUGUGAGAUGCAGAGGAGGAGGAGAGUUCUUCCUAUGCUGGGGAGACAAACUGAACGCUGCCCACAGGGAAGGCAGAAAGAGCACCAGUGCCACCACCUGGAUACAGGGAGAAUGAGGCACCGCUUGAAAAGGAAGGCACUGUGUGUCCAAGAGGGAACAGGAAGUGGUCCGGAGAAUGGUGUAGAGCCCUCCUGAAGUAAGACAGGAGGGAGACCAGAAUUAAGACUCUCAAAAUACAGGAAAAGCUU
Chinchilla lanigera (long-tailed chinchilla) is the source of this 548-nucleotide long non-coding RNA. RefSeq lists it as uncharacterized. The record is from RefSeq and is a predicted model, not a curated record. The transcript is spliced from 3 exons. NCBI's taxonomy places the organism in Eukaryota, Metazoa, Chordata, Mammalia, Rodentia, Chinchillidae.